GCAUCUGGGAACGAUGCACUUCAGGAUGAAGAUCAGUUACUAAGGAUAAGUAACCGAGCAGGAUGCUGGACGAAUAUGGAUAUGACAAUCUACAGGGUGUAGAUUGCAAUGGAUUGAUGAGGAACGCCUCUAGCUUGAGGUAGGACGAACAUCAGGAUGAUGUCAGGGACACCGCUCAAGGAACAAGUGAUGUGUGCUUGCUAGGACAGUAAGUGCUCAGGAAGAAUAGGACACCGCUAGGACGGCGAAACAGGAUACGCUGAGGAAUUCAGCCACUAUUAUGGAUGAUGCAUGGAGCAGAUAUUAGUAGCCGGACUGCUGCGAGUAAGAUCAUAAGCCUCGACACCUAUGUGUUGAGGCUUUUCUUAUACAUG
This 374-nucleotide non-coding RNA is filed under the name Vibrio aestuarianus subsp. francensis. The record is from RNAcentral. Lineage: Bacteria; Pseudomonadati; Pseudomonadota; Gammaproteobacteria; Vibrionales; Vibrionaceae.